UGGGGAAUAUUGGACAAUGGGGGGAACCCUGAUCCAGCAAUGCCGCGUGUGUGAAGAAGGCCUGAGGGUUGUAAAGCACUUUCAGAGGGGAGGAGGACUAUUAGGUUAAGAGCUAGAUAGUUGGACGUUACCCUCAGAAGCAGCACCGGCUAACUACGUGCCAGCAGCCGCGGUAAAACGUAGGAGGCGAGCGUUAUCCGGAGUUACUGGGCGUAAAGCGCGUGUAGGUGGUUGGAUACGUCUGCUGUGAAAUGUCCCGGCUUAACCGGGAGGGUGCGGCAGAUACGGUCUGACUUGAGGGCGACAGAGGAGCGUAGAAUUCCGGGUGUAGUGGUGAAAUGCGUAGAGAUCCGGAGGAAUACCAGUGGCGCAAGCGGCGCUCUGGGUCGCAACUGACACUGAGACGCGAAGGCAUGGGGAGCGAACGGGAUUAGAUACCCAAGUAGUCCCUGAGCGGGCUGGCAAGGCGCAU
RNAcentral lists this ribosomal RNA (472 nucleotides) under uncultured bacterium. RNAcentral's name for it is "bacterial SSU rRNA". It matches the Rfam family "Bacterial small subunit ribosomal RNA", at positions 355 to 825 of the family's 1533-position model. The record is from RNAcentral.